GAUGAACGCUGGCGGCGUGCCUAAUACAUGCAAGUCGAACGAAACUUCUUUAUCACCGAGUGCUUGCACUCAUCGAUAAAGAGUUGAGUGGCGAACGGGUGAGUAACACGUGGGCAACCUGCCCAAAAGAGGGGGAUAACACUUGGAAACAGGUGCUAAUACCGCAUAACCAUAGUUACCGCAUGGUAACUAUGUAAAAGGUGGCUAUACUACCGCUUUUGGAUGGGCCCGCGGCGCAUUAGCUAGUUGGUAGGGUAAAGGCUUACCAAGGCAAUGAUGCGUAGCCGAAUUGAGAGGUUGAUCGGCCACAUUGGGACUGAGACACGGCCCAAACUCCUACGGGAGGCAGCAGUAGGGAAUCUUCCACAAUGGGCGAAAGCCUGAUGGAGCAACGCCGCGUGGGUGAAGAAGGUCUUCGGAUCGUAAAACCCUGUUGUUAGAGAAGAAAGUGCGUGAGAGUAACUGUUCACGUUUCGACGGUAUCUAACCAGAAAGCCACGGCUAACUACGUG
RNAcentral lists this ribosomal RNA (512 nucleotides) under uncultured bacterium. RNAcentral describes it as "partial 16S ribosomal RNA". It matches the Rfam family "Bacterial small subunit ribosomal RNA", at positions 28 to 507 of the family's 1533-position model. The record is from RNAcentral.